RNAcentral lists this ribosomal RNA (257 nucleotides) under Salmonella enterica subsp. enterica serovar Muenchen. RNAcentral describes it as "partial 23S ribosomal RNA". It matches the Rfam family "Bacterial large subunit ribosomal RNA", at positions 2110 to 2366 of the family's 2925-position model. The record is from RNAcentral. Lineage: Bacteria; Pseudomonadati; Pseudomonadota; Gammaproteobacteria; Enterobacterales; Enterobacteriaceae. RNAcentral also lists the same sequence under 1 other name.
CUUGACACUGAACAUUGAGCCUUGAUGUGUAGGAUAGGUGGGAGGCUUUGAAGCGUGGACGCCAGUCUGCGUGGAGCCGACCUUGAAAUACCACCCUUUAAUGUUUGAUGUUCUAACGUGGACCCGUAAUCCGGGUUGCGGACAGUGUCUGGUGGGUAGUUUGACUGGGGCGGUCUCCUCCUAAAGAGUAACGGAGGAGCACGAAGGUUGGCUAAUCCUGGUCGGACAUCAGGAGGUUAGUGCAAUGGCAUAAGCCA